CCUUAGCUCAGUCGGUAGAGCAACUGACUUUUAAUCAGUAGGUCGCAGGUUCGACCCCUGCAG
This 63-nucleotide transfer RNA is filed under the name Altererythrobacter ishigakiensis. It matches the Rfam family "tRNA", at positions 6 to 65 of the family's 71-position model. Rfam says of the family: Transfer RNA (tRNA) molecules are approximately 80 nucleotides in length. Their secondary structure includes four short double-helical elements and three loops (D, anti-codon, and T loops). RNAcentral also lists the same sequence under 2 other names. Lineage: Bacteria; Pseudomonadati; Pseudomonadota; Alphaproteobacteria; Sphingomonadales; Erythrobacteraceae. The record is from RNAcentral.